Molecule: ribosomal RNA, 518 nt
Filed under: uncultured bacterium
Lineage: Bacteria
Description: bacterial SSU rRNA
Rfam family: Bacterial small subunit ribosomal RNA
Source: RNAcentral
AGAGUUUGAUUAUGGCUCAGGAUGAACGCUAGCUACAGGCUUAACACAUGCAAGUCGAGGGGCAGCAUGAUCAAAGCUGCCUUGAUGAUGGCGACCGGCGCACGGGUGAGUAACGCGUAUCCAACCUUCCCUAUAGUAGUGGAUAGCCCGGCGAAAGUCGGAUUAAUACACUAUGUUGUGUUUAGAGGACAUCUGAAGAAUACCAAAGGUUUACCGCUAUAGGAUGGGGAUGCGUCUGAUUAGAUAGUAGGCGGGUAACGGCCACCUAGUCGACGAUCAGUAGGGGUUCUGAGAGGAAGGUCCCCCACAUUGGAACUGAGACACGGUCCAAACUCCUACGGGAGGCAGCAGUGAGGAAUAUUGGUCAAUGGACGGGAGUCUGAACCAGCCAAGUAAGCGUGCAGGAUGACGGCCCUAUGGGUUGUAAACUGCUUUUAUACGGGGAUAAAGUGAGCCACGUGUGGCUUUUUGUAGGUACCGUAUGAAUAAGGACCGGCUAAUUCCGUGCCAGCCGCCGC